AUGUUAGCGGCGGACGGGUGAGUAACACGUGGGUAACCUACCUAUAAGACUGGGAUAACUUCGGGAAACCGGAGCUAAUACCGGAUAACAUUUGGAACCGCAUGGUUCUAAAGUGAAAGAUGGUUUUGCUAUCACUUAUAGAUGGACCCGCGCCGUAUUAGCUAGUUGGUAAGGUAACGGCUUACCAAGGCGACGAUACGUAGCCGACCUGAGAGGGUGAUCGGCCACACUGGAACUAAGACACGGUCCAG
RNAcentral lists this ribosomal RNA (251 nucleotides) under uncultured Staphylococcus sp. Its description in RNAcentral is "partial 16S ribosomal RNA". It matches the Rfam family "Bacterial small subunit ribosomal RNA", at positions 89 to 334 of the family's 1533-position model. Lineage: Bacteria; Bacillati; Bacillota; Bacilli; Caryophanales; Staphylococcaceae. The record is from RNAcentral.